Molecule: small RNA, 1082 nt
Filed under: uncultured fungus
Lineage: Eukaryota; Fungi
Description: eukaryotic LSU rRNA
Rfam family: Eukaryotic large subunit ribosomal RNA (bases 650-1082)
Source: RNAcentral
UCCGUAGGUGAACCUGCGGUUGGAUCAUUAGAAAAUUCCCCGCCUUCGGGUGGGUUGAUGGAAUACCAUCAAACCCCAACACCACCUCAACACGUCUCUGGCGGCUGAAGGGGGCUGGCUUUGCCUUCCCCCUUUGAGGACGUUGCCGCCGCAAAAUAUCGUGGAGGCAACGGACGAAACCGCCAACCACCUUUCUUAACUCUUUACCGCUUUGUGGCUUUGUCUAACACUUGUAUUCGUCGAAUGCAAACAACUUUUGGCAACGGAUCUCUUGGCUCUCGCAACGAUGAAGAACGCAGCGAAAUGCGAUAAGUAGUGUGAAUUGCAGAAUUCAGUGAAUCAUCGAAUCUUUGAACGCACAUUGCGCUUUCUGGCAUUCCGGAGAGCAUGCCCGCUUCAGAAUCAUUCUAUAAACAUGCCACAGAGGGGUUCCCUGGUGAACCCCUUUGUGUGGACAUUGGACGCUUUGCAAGGUUAACUUUGCAAUUGUCUGCAAAUGAUCUGUGUUCAGCAAUUGCCGUCUGGGAUGGGCAAAUCAAAGUGCGACAGAAACAAAUGGACCGCUUUGACAUGUCUUUCCCAUGCAGUUGUUGGGCAUACCCAAACCAUUAUUCGAGUCGGGUCCUUGUGGCCAGGGUCGAAAGAAACUUGGUCUGAAGUCGGGCAGGAAAACCCGCUGAACUUAAGCAUAUCAAUAAGCGGAGGAAAAGAAACUAACAAGGAUUCCCCUAGUAACGGCGAGUGAAGCGGGAACAGCUCAAAUUUGAAAUCUCACAGAGCGAUCUGUGCGAAUUGUAGUUUAGAGAAGCGUUUUCGGGGGCGGCUUGGAUAUAAGUCCUCUGGAAUGGGGCAUCAUAGAGGGUGAGAAUCCCGUUUAUGAUCCAAAGCCCGCUCCUAUGUGAUACGCUUUCCAAGAGUCAGGUAGUUUAGGAUUGCUGCCUAAAAUGGGUGGUAAAUACCAUCUAAAGCUAAAUAACGGCGAGAGACCGAUAGCGAACAAGUACCGUGAGGGAAAGAUGAAAAGAACUUUGAAAAGAGAGUUAAACAGUACGUGAAAUUGCCAAAAGGGAAACGCUUGAAGU